This is a long non-coding RNA of Ostrinia furnacalis (Asian corn borer), 1874 nucleotides long. RefSeq lists it as uncharacterized. The transcript is spliced from 2 exons. Lineage: Eukaryota; Metazoa; Arthropoda; Insecta; Lepidoptera; Crambidae. The record is from RefSeq and is a predicted model, not a curated record.
CCUAAGAUGCGCGCAUCGACAAUGACAUGAUAUGAUAAGACAAUUUUCGAUCACGUAGAUAAUUUUAUCAUUUUCCCUAACAUGGGACCAUCGAUAGAAAAGUCUAUCGACCGCUAUCGCGUGAUAACCGAAUUGUUGCCAUAUUAAGAAAAAAUUGCGUUAUUAUGUUGGCCAACCUUGAAAUAUUUUAGCUCAUUCGUUCAAUCUCGUUCAUUUCUGCUACUAAUUCGGCUAAAAACACAUAUCUUAAAGCAGUGAGAACGUCAUUAAAAAAAAGUUAUGUCAAUUUUGUUGACAUUACAUGACUGCUUGAUUGUAUUUGUUUGUGUUUUUAAAAUUGUAUUUUUAUGUUUCCAGUCUUAUUUUUAAUAUUUCUAAAGUACGGAAAAUAUCAAACGAAGAGAUAACCAAGUUAAAGAAAAACAAUGAAGAAUUCCUAAUCAUACCGAUAGUAUUAUAGAAUGAAGUCUUCAAAAUUAACAGAAUAACCGAACUCCACUACCUACCCCAUAAUGCGAGGUUUACAGUAAUUAUUCAACUUACAUGAAGCAGUCAGAAAGUUUAUUGAGAUUUGAGAAAUAAAGUUACACUCAUAAGUAGCAAAACAGUGGAUGAAGAAGUGUGGGAUUAUGAGUGAUUAUUUCAUUCUAAAGCAGACAUAAUCAAGUCUUGCUCACUAUCAUGAAAAUUUACAAUAACAAUCAGCAAGAAAAACUUCAAGGGUACUGGCUAGGCUAACCAAUUCAUGGAAUUCUGUUUGUAUUUGAAAUUAUAAAUAGCUAUUGUAAAACAAAAGUUUUCCAAAUAAAGAUUUUGUAAAUAAUGGUUGAAUUAUUUUGAAAUUACACUGCAAUAAUGAAUUUAUUGCCUGCGUCCAGCGCCUUUCUGCUACCAUUAUGAUGUCGUCGGUCCACCUUGUGGGUGGACGUCCCACGCUGCGUAUUCCGGUACCCGGCCUCCACCCCAGAACCUUGCUGCCCCAUCGGGCAACAUGGAAAGCAUUGGGGGAGGCCUAAGUUCAGCAGUGGACGUCCUAUGGCUGAGAUGAUGAUGAAUUUAUUAUAAUGGAAUAAAUUGUACAAGAUUAUCAUCCUGUCACAUUAAAGCCCUUAAAAAAGACCACAUGGAGGAAUUAGAUUGAUAGUAAUGUGGAAUGUAUGUAUGGUAUCACCAUCAAGUUAUAAAAUUAGUAAAAUUCAUUUAUUCUCAUUGUUAUUAUAGCAAGUUUGAUUACACAUCCCACCCAAUGCUAAUUUCUGACAAUGACCUUGCCACUGUUUGAUGUAGACACAAGAAGCUCGGUCACCACAUUCCGCCCCAUUUUCAAUAAUUUUACAAGAUUAUGUACAGAUGACAGUAGGUACUUAAAUCAAGCUAAACACUGUGGGGUAUCUCACGACAUUUGCAACUUAAUAUGUAUUGUCUGAUGUACUGUUGACUGCCUACCUAAGUAGGUAAGUAAUGGUUAUUUUACAAGGUAGGUAAUGUAAUAAUUAAUAUGUGGGUGGGACUGUGGGAGCACUAAGAUUUUGCAGCUAGCGAUUAUAAACUGUCGCAAGAUUCGCCUCACACUGAUAAACUCUUGAACUAGAACUCAAUCUCCACCUAGAAGUAAAAGUAUCACAAAGGUGCUAGAUUCCUUUCUUUGAAUUUUACUAGCCUCAAAUUAGUCGUAAAAUGUCAUUUACCAUUAUAAAUGAUAAAUAAAUAGAGUUAAAGUAGCUUGCAAAAAAGUUAAUCUCCUAUCGUCUUGCUAUCGUGGGCAAGGAUCGAGGACGAUAAAAACACCACAUCCUAUCCUAUCGUGAUGUCAAAAUAUGAUAUAGUUAGCGCUUCAUGUUAGGGCUUGCCAGGUUUAUCACAAAAAAAAAAAA